AAUAGAUACCCCGGUAGUCCACGCCCUAAACCAUGUCAACUGGGUGUUCGGGAAGCGAUUUCUGAGUACCGUAGCUAACGCGUGAAGUUGACCGCCUGGGGAGUACGGCCGCAAGGUUAAAACUCAAAGGAAUUGACGGGGACCCGCACAAGCGGUGGAUGAUGUGGAUUAAUUCGAUGCAACGCGAACAACCUUACCUACCCUUGACAUGUCCGAGAGCCUGCUGAGAGGCGGGUGUGCCCGAAAGGGAAUCGGAACACAGGUGCUGCAUGGCUGUCGUCAGCUCGUGUCGUGAGAUGUUGGGUUAAGUCCCGCAACGAGCGCAACCCUUGUCCCUAGUUGCUACGCAAGGGCACUCUAGGGAGACUGCCGGUGACAAACCGGAGGAAGGUGGGGAUGACGUCAAGUCCUCAUGGCCCUUAUGGGUAGGGCUUCACACGUCAUACAAUGGCCGGUACAGAGGUUGCCAAAGCGCGAGCUGGAGCCAAUCCCCAUAAAAGCCGGUCGUAGUCCGGAUUGCAGUCUGCAA
This 529-nucleotide ribosomal RNA is filed under the name uncultured bacterium. RNAcentral describes it as "bacterial SSU rRNA". It matches the Rfam family "Bacterial small subunit ribosomal RNA", at positions 777 to 1310 of the family's 1533-position model. The record is from RNAcentral.